CACAGUCUGCUAUCAAUGAGAAAGUCAGUUAUGCCACUUUCACCCACACAUAAGAUGUUUUAGAUGAAUCACACUUCGAACAUAGACUAAUAAACAACCCGGGCUUUAUCGUUUUGGGUUUUUUUUUUCUUUUCUCUCUUUCUUCUUCAAACUGAUCUACAAUCACAAGCGAAAGUUUCUUUCAUGUGCCCGAAGUUGGCACCGCUUUUCCGGGUGUCGGACGGUCUUCUCCGCUGAACCAGCGACAAAUACAGCGGUCGAAAUCCAGGUCUAUGGCUGGGCUACAGAUGAACCAAUAGAAAUUCUCUCUUGUUUGUACGUGAGCGCGACCUUGCGCGCUCCCUAAAGCUCCAGCCAGUCAGACGCCAGUGGAGCUGAAGGAGCGCGAGCUGCCCGUUGAACCACUGACGCGAGGAGUUACGUCGCUGACAUGCGGAGGGACAGAGAGGACAUGAUCGGCAGUGUCAACUAAGCACUACGGAUAGUGGACUAGGACUGUCUAUGUCUGGAGAAUACGUUUCUGAAGCCACAGUCUCCCGAUAAGACCGUUCACGGAGUACCAAAUUUGUGCGCCGCAGUUUCGGAUCUUUCUUCAAGAAGCGUCCCAGAAACUUCACUGAGGGGAUGGAUUUGUAGCAAGGAGCAUCACCAGCUGCUGCUGACACUUCUUCACUGAAGUUUGGUGGAGUUAAGAAAAUUCAGGAUUGUCUGUAUAUGGAAUAUGUUGACAUUAGUUAUUGUCUCCCAUGUAGAAUCAUUAUUUUUCUAAUCUAAGUAUAUAAUCCAAUGAGAUUCUGCCCCCCACCCCCUCCCUCAAUCCCUCCUUGGCUUCCUUGAAACUUUGUGUAAAAUAGUAACUAUCAGAGCUGAUUCAGACCUGUUCCAUAUAUCAUUACUGACCAGUGUGAUUGCAUGUGGAAUUGUCAUUCAGCUUCGGAAGAACUGCUCUCCUGUUCAUGUGCUGCUCUCUCUUUUAUGUACAGCAGCUGCACCACAGCAUAUCUGUGCACAGUGUGUAUCAGUGUGGGUUAUUCACAGUGCUGCUAUGCAGACUGACUGGAGCCACGCUCAGACAGCUCCACAGCAACCCCAAUUCUGAGGCAAAUGCCUGGACUGCUCACACAAAAAGAAACCUUUACAGCUAAAGAAAAGCCCUCCACACCACAAAAUCCAGAGGGACAACUUGUGUGGAAUAGCAGAUGUUACACAGCUUUGUGUACUGAUGUGGAUUAUUUAGGAUGCUGCUAUGCAGACAGAGUGGAGCCACAGAAAACCUGCUGGUGAAAUUAAAGUAACGCACAUGACUGGAUGGCUUUUUUCAGUUCAGCUGAACUGCAUGCGUUGCAUUGUUAGCAGACGAGGCUUUGUGUGGUAGUUUUGUUGUUUUGGUUGUUGUUGUGAUUAGAUUCACUGAAGAAAACCCAGAGCUUGUACUAAAAGUUGUGUCUGAAACUCAAAAGUCACCUUUGUCCUUUCACAGUAAUGGCCAUUAUGUAUCCAGAAGGUGAAAGCUUCUAAGACAGACUGUCACUCUUACUUAGUGAAUGAUAUUUCAUAGAAUUGAAGCAUUUUGUUGGACAGUUUUAAAGACUGCUGCUGAUACGCACAAUUCAGUUUCUCUUCCAUUUCAUCAUUUUGUUGUUAAAACUACAUUGUUGUUUUAAUACACUAGUAUUUGCAAAAUGAAGAAUCCUCUUCCUAUGAAUAAUACCUGGAAUAGAGCUACUAACAAAGAUUCAGUACUGAUCUCUGUGCCAGGCACCAGCAAGAGGUUCAAGAGGAAGUCCCGUGAGCCUAAAAGGCUUUUCAUUAGCCCUGAGGCUGACAGAAUGAAAACAUACCCGGUGGACAUCUCAGAUGUAUACACAGUGGACGAUGCUCAUAUGGAGGUGUGUAAUGUUAGCAAGUUGGCUCCACUCCAGAGGCAGCUGAUCAUGUCACAGGAAGUGAUGGCCAGUACUACAGGGAUUCUGUCAAGUCUAAAAGAAGACAGCGUGACUCCGGCCCAGAGUGGUGCCAUAGACAUGAGAAUUGGUAUUAAUGGGCCUGCCAUCACUUCCAAAUUGCCCCAGUUACCCAUCUCUCCAUUCUCAAACCCAGAAAUCUCCCACUGGCCUACCUCCAUAUCUCAGCCACUAUCAAACAGACACAAAAUUAGCCUCCACCCCGCCUUCUCUCUGUCAACAUCAACCAGCAGCAGUCACUCACCCAGCCACCAGGCCUUCUCCUUGGAGGCCUCCAUGUCUAACCAGUCUGCAGCACUGUCUGCCACCAGAGCCUCCCAGUCUUCCCAGUGUCAUGAAGCUGUGGAGCGCCAAGUCCCUUCACCUAAGGAGUCUCCCAGGAAGCGAGUUGGAUUAACUGCUGAUGGACCUGGGCGUCCUCCAGAGGUCAAAGCCAUCCAGCAGACUAGGAGGCUUCUAGCCAAUGCCAGGGAGAGGACCCGUGUUCACACUAUCAGUGCUGCAUUUGAGGCCCUGAGGAAGCAGGUUCCAUGUUACUCGUAUGGACAGAAGCUCUCCAAGCUGGCCAUACUACGUAUUGCCUGCAACUAUAUUCUGUCUCUGGCUCAGUUAGCUGAGCUGGACUACAGUUCCGACCACAGCAGUCUGAGCUUCUCUCAGUGUGUGGAACAAUGUACCAGGACCCUGCAGGCUGAGGGCAGAAGCAAGAAGAGGAAGUCCCAGACGCCAGAUGUUUAGAGUGGAAGGGAAGUGGAGCUGGCGCCAUGAAGGGCAGAGGGCAGUGAGAAGGUUGGACGAAUGCCAGAGGAUGUAUGAUGUUUUCAGACUACAGUUACCAGAAUCUUCUGAUGCACUGCAGCCAUAAAACCAGGCACAGACCCAACUCAUCUCUUCUAUUGUGUUGCUCAAAUAAAGAUAGAGACUAAGAUCUAUUUGUUUUGAAGACAAUAAUAUGCACUACAAUAAAAAAUAGAAAAGGGAAAAGAACCAUGCCAUGUAACCCAAAUGCAAUGCAGAUUAGCCAGAAAAUAAGACUAAUAGUGUGUUCUGCUUCUACCUGUACCAUAUACCUAGAAUGACUGGCGUCUGGUGCUGAUGAUGAUUAUGUUGACAGGGGUGAUGUGAUAAUGAUGUUAGGACUAUUUUCAUGACUAUUUUUUAAAAUGAUUUUUUUCUUCUAAUUGGGCAGGAUGGAGAGCAUGUCAGACCCUUUGGACAUAAUCUCUAACCUGAGUUAUAAUACCUAAUUGUUUUCCCCCUAAUAAAUGUGGAGUUGACAUCAACUAUA
Molecule: RNA transcript, 3252 nt
Organism: Acanthochromis polyacanthus (spiny chromis)
Lineage: Eukaryota; Metazoa; Chordata; Actinopteri; Pomacentridae
Gene: atoh8
Gene name: atonal bHLH transcription factor 8
Exons: 5
Source: RefSeq, a predicted model, not a curated record